AGCAGUCGCCGCGGGAAUACGUAGGGUGCAAGCGUUAAUCGGAAUUACUGGGCGUAAAGCGUGCGCAGGCGGUUAUAUAAGACAGAUGUGAAAUCCCCGGGCUCAACCUGGGAACUGCAUUUGUGACUGUAUAGCUAGAGUACGGCAGAGGGGGAUGGAAUUCCGCGUGUAGCAGUGAAAUGCGUAGAUAUGCGGAGGAACACCGAUGGCGAAGGCAAUCCCCUGGGCCUGUACUGACGCUCAUGCACGAAAGCGUGGGGAGCAAACAGGAUUAGAUACCCCGGUAGUCCCUGUCUCUUAUAU
Molecule: ribosomal RNA, 303 nt
Filed under: uncultured bacterium
Lineage: Bacteria
Description: partial 16S ribosomal RNA
Rfam family: Bacterial small subunit ribosomal RNA
Source: RNAcentral